This 243-nucleotide ribosomal RNA is filed under the name uncultured bacterium. Its description in RNAcentral is "partial 16S ribosomal RNA". It matches the Rfam family "Bacterial small subunit ribosomal RNA", at positions 524 to 767 of the family's 1533-position model. The record is from RNAcentral.
UACGUAGGGUGCGAGCGUUAAUCGGAAUUACUGGGCGUAAAGCGUGCGCAGGCGGUUUUGUAAGCCAGAUGUGAAAUCCCCGGGCUUAACCUGGGAAUGGCAUUUGGGACUGCAAGGCUGGAGUGCGGCAGAGGAGACUGGAAUUCCUGGUGUAGCAGUGAAAUGCGUAGAUAUCAGGAGGAACACCGAUGCGAAGGCAGGUCUCUGGGCUGACACUGACGCUCAUGCACGAAAGCGUGGGGA